GCUGCUUGUUGGAAAAGCAUUCAAACUUGUCAGGCUGUCUAGAGUCUGCUCAGAUCUAUUCAGGGUCCUGUGCACUGAUGCAAGCCAAAUGACAAGCAGAGUUGCAGAGAAUCAGACAGCAUGUCAAAGUCGGGGACUGCGGUUGCUGCUGCUGGAUCUUGGAACCAAGCCUGGAUUCAUUUCUCAGGCACAGUAAAAGACAAUAUUGAAUUCUUCCCUCCAGAUCUUGACAGGAUGUAAUUAAUACUUUCUUUCUGCUUUAAAUAA
Rhineura floridana is the source of this 267-nucleotide long non-coding RNA. RefSeq lists it as uncharacterized. The record is from RefSeq and is a predicted model, not a curated record. NCBI's taxonomy places the organism in Eukaryota, Metazoa, Chordata, Lepidosauria, Squamata, Rhineuridae. The transcript is spliced from 3 exons.